AAACUAGGAUUAGAUACCCUAUUAUUGAAUAAUAAUUAGUACUACCUGAUUUUCAAAAAUUAAAUAAAAUUGACGGCUUUUUAAAAAAUUUAGAGGAAUUUAUCAUAUUAAGGAUACGACACCAAAACCUUACUUUAUUUAGAACUUUGAACAGUCAGUAUACCUCUAUUAUUAAAUUAAAAAAUUAAUUUUAACUAUCUUUUAAAGAAAAAAAUUAAGUCAAGGUGCUACUAAUAAUAAAGAUACAGAUAAACUAUAUCAUUUCAGAAAAUUACAAAAUUUUUAAUAAAAAAUUUAAAUUAAGAAAAAUUUAAAAGUAAGUAUUUUAAACUAAAAUUUAAUGAAUUCAAAAUUAUAAGUGUACAUAUCGCCCGUCACUCUUUAACUAUCAAAGAUAAGUCGUAACAUAGUAA
Molecule: ribosomal RNA, 413 nt
Filed under: Typhlodromus maspalomensis
Lineage: Eukaryota; Metazoa; Arthropoda; Arachnida; Mesostigmata; Phytoseiidae
Description: partial small subunit ribosomal RNA
Source: RNAcentral